GUAAAAUUCAAAAAACUAAUCAAUAUUAAAAUAUAUUUUUUUCGACUUGUUCCAAAAUUUAAAUUUAUAAAAUUAUAUAUAUUUAAAAUUUUAAUUUCUAAAAUUAUUCAUUCAUUUUACGAAAAAGAGUUUUAUAAGCCAUGCACGGACUAAGAAGACCAAGUUACGAUUUCCUAAGGAUCCAUCCUGAUCCUUACCACAAACGUCACUCUAUGCAGACAAUCAGGGAACUGUCCAGUAACAAUUUGAAACAAGAUUAUCUUGACGCCAGUGCCAUAGAUCAUCAAAAUUAUCAAUCUAGAAACAGACGCUCGAAGGGUUCUGUAGUAGCCUAUCUGACAUCCCGGUUCUCUAAAGUGCCGGAUUCUUAUUAUUUUAGCCACAAA
Gordionus sp. m RMFG-2023 is the source of this 386-nucleotide long non-coding RNA. RefSeq lists it as uncharacterized. NCBI's taxonomy places the organism in Eukaryota, Metazoa, Nematomorpha, Gordioida, Chordodea, Parachordodidae. The record is from RefSeq and is a predicted model, not a curated record. The transcript has 2 exons.